GAUGAACGCUAGCUACAGGCUUAACACAUGCAAGUCGAGGGACCGGCGCACGGGUGAGUAACACGUAUCCAACCUGCCCUUUACUCGGGGAUAGCCUUUCGAAAGAAAGAUUAAUACCCGAUAUAAAGGCUGGGGAUGCGUUCCAUUAGGUUGUUGGUGAGGUAACGGCUCACCAAGCCUUCGAUGGAUAGGGGUUCUGAGAGGAAGGUCCCCAACAAUGGAACGGAAACACGGACCAAAAGCAUACGGGAGGCAGCAGUGAGGAAUAUUGGUCAAGGGGCGCUAGCCUGAACCAGCCAAGUAGAGUGAAGAAUGAAGGCUUAUGGGUCGUAAACUUCUUUUAUAUAAGAAUAUGUAGUAUAUGAAUAAGGAUCGGCUAACUCCAUGCCAGCAACCGCGGUAAUAC
Molecule: ribosomal RNA, 406 nt
Filed under: uncultured bacterium
Lineage: Bacteria
Description: partial 16S ribosomal RNA
Rfam family: Bacterial small subunit ribosomal RNA
Source: RNAcentral